Amphibalanus amphitrite is the source of this 1607-nucleotide long non-coding RNA. RefSeq lists it as uncharacterized. The record is from RefSeq and is a predicted model, not a curated record. Lineage: Eukaryota; Metazoa; Arthropoda; Thecostraca; Balanomorpha; Balanidae. The transcript has 2 exons.
CCCAGCGGAGCUGACGGCAGCGGUGGAGGAGGACGAGGUGGAGGAGGAGUUUCGGGCCGUCACCCUGCAGCCUAAAGUGCCGCCGGUCAUCAGUAUCACAGAGGAGGCUGAAGACGGCGGUGCGGCGACCAACACUGUGCAGGCGAGGGCUAGAGCUGCUGAGGACGCCUGCGACAAAAGUAACCGGGCCUGGAUCUCCGGAUCGCCAGGAAGCUGGUUCGUACCAGGCUGCACAUCCGGCUACGAUUCCUCAAUCAAGCUCAGGCUGAGGCUGCCGCCGCGAGGAGAGCAGCCAAACAGGUCCGCCAGCAUGCCCAGAGCUCUGUUAGUUGAGGAAGGUGCUGAAGCAGGAUGUCGGGCUUGAGCGGCUGCUGCUCACAUAGCUGGCUCCGCUUCUGCUCAUCUGGCCACUCAUCUGGUCCUCUGCCGCUCGCCAGGAUGACUCAUCUACUGCUCAUCUACCCCUCGCCUGGCUGACUUAUCUGCCGCUCACCUGGCCGGGUUGUCUGCCGCUCGCCUGGCCGCCCACCACGCGCCUGGCUGGCCCGUCUGCCGCUCGCCUGGCUGGCCUGUCUGCCGCUGAUCUGGCGGACUUGUCCACUGUUCAGGUUCACGUACCGCUCACCUGGCUAGCCUGCCUGCCGCUCGCCUGUCCGUCUGCUGCUCGCCUGGUUGGCUCGUCUGCCGUUCAUCGUGCAGGCUUGUCUGCCGCUCAUCUGGCUGGCUUAUCUACCGCUGAUCUGACCGUCUUCCGCUCACCGCUUAAAGGCUACAAGUACGCCCAAGCUGAUGUGCUGAAGAUUCCGCUGCCUUCUGCGAGCACCUUGUCCUGCUGGACCCGCGCAGUGCGCCUAGAGACUGACACGGCGUUUGUCAGCACUGGUCAGCGGCUGGAGCGUGACAACCUCGGCAACGAAACGUUGGAGGUUCUGCAGAUACAGAUCCAGUUCCAGCGUCCAGUGGAGCUGACGGCAGCGGUGGAGGAGGCGUACCGGGCGGUCACCUUGCAGCCGACAGUACCGCCGGUCAUCGGAGAGCAUGCUGGAGACGGCGGUGCAGCGACCGACACCGGUAAGGCGGUGCCGAAGCUACUGAGGACGUCUGGCUAAAGUGGGAGGGAAUGACAGUGAUCGAGGCGUUCGAGGUGCUCUUCUGCAUCAUCGUGGACGUGGACCGUCUGUGCCUGGUCCUGGAUCCGGGCAUUGUUCGGCGGCUCCUGGAGCUGGUUCGUACCGGGCUGCAUAUCCGACUCAGAUCCCAUAAAUCAAGCGCAAGCUGCUGAAACUGUCGCCGCCUGGGAGCAGCCAAACAGGUCCGUCAGCGUGUCUGGAGUUCUGUGGUAGAAGAAGCUGAGACAUCUGAAUGUCAGUUUUGACCGGCGUGUGAUAGCCAGACUCAUUGCUGCCCUCCUAUCGACGCGCCGUGAGGUGUGACUAGCGACCAUUGGGCGGCUGUGCGGGUGACGUGUCCGCCGGAGCCGAGUGCCUGGCCUAGUCGGGAGAUUCAACUGUGAUUGCCAGGCUUAGUGCUGUCCUAUGAAUGUGUAGGUACUGAUGUGCAGUGUUGAUUAUGCUAUAUUAUUGAUUUAUAUAAUGACGGUUACCAUU